CGAGAAUCUUGCAGACUGCGAUCAAAAAACAAGCCCAUGUGGCCAAUCAGCCCAUGCCGAAGAGGGGAAGGCCAGAAAAAGGAGGCAUAAAGGCUGAAUAGCUUUAAUUUACUUACCAAGAGUUAUGCCCGCAAGGCACCUUCGGCCAACAUACUUUCCUCGGGAUUUCGGCACUGAGACGUCAUCGCCCACAACCACGAGCUCGACGUUUUUCAAACCAGCUGAUUGAGCCAUGAGUUUGGCUAGCCCGAAAUGAAGGUUGUCGCCAGUAUCUAUUAAUAUUUAAUUAGCGCCAUUUCAAGCGUUCCCUGAGGUUUGCUUCAACCGCAUGGAGAGCCCAGACCCAGAUAGAAGCAAUGAGAAGAAGCAAAAAAGACCCACAGUUUGUAAUAAUAAGAAUGGUACCCUUGUCGCUGUGGACGCGCUUGAUAGCCUCCAUGACCUGCCUCGCACUAGGACUGGCAAACACAUCGCCAGCGACACUCGCUGUGAGCAAACCAGCUCCAACAAAUCCGACAGUACCAGGCUCAUGGCCGGAACCACCACCGCAAAUAAGGGAAACCUUGGAAGGGUCGUGGUCUGCUCGGUAGACGACCUUCUGGGAGGGGAUCAAGGAAAGAUAAGGGUGAGAGGCAACGAGACCUCUGAUGGAUCGAAAGACCAGAGUCUUGUGGUCUGGGAAGAUGUGUCGGUCUGUCAUUGUUGUGAACGCAACGAAGGAUGGGAUAGAGAGGAAAAAAGCAGAGGAGGGGAAAGAAAUGAAAAGAUCGUUUAUGAGCCAGCUCUAUAACUGAAUGGUACAUCACGGGAUUGAUAUUUGUCUGUACGAACUUGU
RNAcentral lists this small RNA (835 nucleotides) under Cryptococcus neoformans H99. RNAcentral's name for it is "Cryptococcus neoformans var. grubii H99 hypothetical RNA". The record is from RNAcentral. Lineage: Eukaryota; Fungi; Basidiomycota; Tremellomycetes; Tremellales; Cryptococcaceae.